This 468-nucleotide ribosomal RNA is filed under the name uncultured bacterium. RNAcentral describes it as "partial 16S ribosomal RNA". It matches the Rfam family "Bacterial small subunit ribosomal RNA", at positions 28 to 507 of the family's 1533-position model. The record is from RNAcentral.
GACGAACGCUGGCGGCGUGCUUAACACAUGCAAGUCGAACGGAAAGGCCCUGCUUUUGUGGGGUGCUCGAGUGGCGAACGGGUGAGUAACACGUGAGUAACCUGCCCUUGACUUUGGGAUAACUUCAGGAAACUGGGGCUAAUACCGGAUAGGAGCUCCUGCUGCAUGGUGGGGGUUGGAAAGUUUCGGCGGUUGGGGAUGGACUCGCGGCUUAUCAGCUUGUUGGUGGGGUAGUGGCUUACCAAGGCUUUGACGGGUAGCCGGCCUGAGAGGGUGACCGGGCACAUUGGGACUGAGAGACGGACCAGACGCCUACGGGAGGCAGCAGUGGGGAAUAUGGCACAAUGGGCGGGAGCCUGAUGCAGCAACGCCGCGUGCGGGAUGACGGCCUUCGGGUUGUAAACCGCUUUCGCCUGUGACGAAGCGUGAGUGACGGUAAUGGGUAAAGAAGCACCGGCUAACUACGUG